GGCCGGAUAGCUUAGUAGGUCGAAGCUUUUCCUUUUCCAAUUAAUGAACGCGACUCAGGUUCGACUCCUAGUCCAGCCG
Molecule: transfer RNA, 79 nt
Filed under: Microbotryum lychnidis-dioicae p1A1 Lamole
Lineage: Eukaryota; Fungi; Basidiomycota; Microbotryomycetes; Microbotryales; Microbotryaceae
Also listed under: 1 other name
Description: Microbotryum violaceum p1A1 Lamole tRNA
Rfam family: tRNA
About the family: Transfer RNA (tRNA) molecules are approximately 80 nucleotides in length. Their secondary structure includes four short double-helical elements and three loops (D, anti-codon, and T loops). Further hydrogen bonds mediate the characteristic L-shaped molecular structure. tRNAs have two regions of fundamental functional importance: the anti-codon, which is responsible for specific mRNA codon recognition, and the 3' end, to which the tRNAs corresponding amino acid is attached (by aminoacyl-tRNA synthetases). tRNAs cope with the degeneracy of the genetic code in two manners: having more than one tRNA (with a specific anti-codon) for a particular amino acid; and 'wobble' base-pairing, i.e. permitting non-standard base-pairing at the 3rd anti-codon position.
Source: Rfam by way of RNAcentral